UGUGAGCUCGAUGAGUAGGGCGGGACACGUGGUAUCCUGUCUGAAUAUGGGGGGACCAUCCUCCAAGGCUAAAUACUCCUGACUGACCGAUAGUGAACCAGUACCGUGAGGGAAAGGCGAAAAGAACCCCGGCGAGGGGAGUGAAAAAGAACCUGAAACCGUGUACGUACAAGCAGUGGGAGCACGCUUAGGCGUGUGACUGCGUACCUUUUGUAUAAUGGGUCAGCGACUUAUAUUCUGUAGCAAGGUUAACCGAAUAGGGGAGCCGAAGGGAAACCGAGUCUUAACUGGGCGUUAAGUUGCAGGGUAUAGACCCGAAACCCGGUGAUCUAGCCAUGGGCAGGUUGAAGGUUGGGUAACACUAACUGGAGGACCGAACCGACUAAUGUUGAAAAAUUAGCGGAUGACUUGUGGCUGGGGGUGAAAGGCCAAUCAAACCGGGAGAUAGCUGGUUCUCCCCGAAAGCUAUUUAGGUAGCGCCUCGUGAAUUCAUCUCCGGGGGUAGAGCACUGUUUCGGCAAGGGGGUCAUCCCGACUUACCAACCCGAUGCAAACUGCGAAUACCGGAGAAUGUUAUCACGGGAGACACACGGCGGGUGCUAACGUCCGUCGUGAAGAGGGAAACAACCCAGACCGCCAGCUAAGGUCCCAAAGUCAUGGUUAAGUGGGAAACGAUGUGGGAAGGCCCAGACAGCCAGGAUGUUGGCUUAGAAGCAGCCAUCAUUUAAAGAAAGCGUAAUAGCUCACUGGUCGAGUCGGCCUGCGCGGAAGAUGUAACGGGGCUAAACCAUGCACCGAAGCUGCGGCAGCGACGCUGAUGCGUUGUUGGGUAGGGGAGCGUUCUGUAAGCCUGCGAAGGUGUGCUGUGAGGCAUGCUGGAGGUAUCAGAAGUGCGAAUGCUGACAUAAGUAACGAUAAAGCGGGUGAAAAGCCCGCUCGCCGGAAGACCAAGGGUUCCUGUCCAACGUUAAUCGGGGCAGGGUGAGUCGACCCCUAAGGCGAGGCCGAAAGGCGUAGUCGAUGGGAAACAGGUUAAUAUUCCUGUACUUGGUGUUACUGCGAAGGGGGGACGGAGAAGGCUAUGUUGGCCGGGCGACGGUUGUCCCGGUUUAAGCGUGUAGGCUGGUUUUCCAGGCAAAUCCGGAAAAUCAAGGCUGAGGCGUGAUGACGAGGCACUACGGUGCUGAAGCAACAAAUGCCCUGCUUCCAGGAAAAGCCUCUAAGCAUCAGGUAACAUCAAAUCGUACCCCAAACCGACACAGGUGGUCAGGUAGAGAAUACCAAGGCGCUUGAGAGAACUCGGGUGAAGGAACUAGGCAAAAUGGUGCCGUAACUUCGGGAGAAGGCACGCUGAUAUGUAGGUGAAGUCCCUUGCGGAUGGAGCUGAAAUCAGUCGAAGAUACCAGCUGGCUGCAACUGUUUAUUAAAAACACAGCACUGUGCAAACACGAAAGUGGACGUAUACGGUGUGACGCCUGCCCGGUGCCGGAAGGUUAAUUGAUGGGGUCAGCGCAAGCGAAGCUCUUGAUCGAAGCCCCGGUAAACGGCGGCCGUAACUAUAACGGUCCUAAGGUAGCGAAAUUCCUUGUCGGGUAAGUUCCGACCUGCACGAAUGGCGUAAUGAUGGCCAGGCUGUCUCCACCCGAGACUCAGUGAAAUUGAACUCGCUGUGAAGAUGCAGUGUACCCGCGGCAAGACGGAAAGACCCCGUGAACCUUUACUAUAGCUUGACACUGAACAUUGAGCCUUGAUGUGUAGGAUAGGUGGGAGGCUUUGAAGUGUGGACGCCAGUCUGCAUGGAGCCGACCUUGAAAUACCACCCUUUAAUGUUUGAUGUUCUAACGUUGACCCGUAAUCCGGGUUGCGGACAGUGUCUGGUGGGUAGUUUGACUGGGGCGGUCUCCUCCUAAAGAGUAACGGAGGAGCACGAAGGUUGGCUAAUCCUGGUCGGACAUCAGGAGGUUAGUGCAAUGGCAUAAGCCAGCUUGACUGCGAGCGUGACGGCGCGAGCAGGUGCGAAAGCAGGUCAUAGUGAUCCGGUGGUUCUGAAUGGAAGGGCCAUCGCUCAACGGAUAAAAGGUACUCCGGGGAUAACAGGCUGAUACCGCCCAAGAGUUCAUAUCGACGGCGGUGUUUGGCACCUCGAUGUCGGCUCAUCACAUCCUGGGGCUGAAGUAGGUCCCAAGGGUAUGGCUGUUCGCCAUUUAAAGUGGUACGCGAGCUGGGUUUAGAACGUCGUGAGACAGUUCGGUCCCUAUCUGCCGUGGGCGCUGGAGAACUGAGGGGGGCUGCUCCUAGUACGAGAGGACCGGAGUGGACGCAUCACUGGUGUUCGGGUUGUCAUGCCAAUGGCACUGCCCGGUAGCUAAAUGCGGAAGAGAUAAGUGCUGAAAGCAUCUAAGCACGAAACUUGCCCCGAGAUGAGUUCUCCCUGAC
RNAcentral lists this ribosomal RNA (2436 nucleotides) under Escherichia coli. RNAcentral's name for it is "bacterial LSU rRNA". It matches the Rfam family "Bacterial large subunit ribosomal RNA", at positions 398 to 2819 of the family's 2925-position model. The record is from RNAcentral. Lineage: Bacteria; Pseudomonadati; Pseudomonadota; Gammaproteobacteria; Enterobacterales; Enterobacteriaceae.